UUAGGGUUUAAAACUCUAAUGCUGACUAAAGGAAAAAUUCAGUUUAGGGUUUAAAACCCUAAUGCUGAUUGCAUGGAAAAGCUCAGUUUAGGGUUUAAAACCCUAAUGCUGGCUGAAUGGGAAAAAGUUCAGUUUAGGGUUUAAAACCUUAAUGCUGACUGCAUGGAAAAGCUCAGUUUAGGGCUUAAAACCCUAAUGCUGGCUAAAAGGAAAGAAGUUCAGUUUAGGGUUUAAAACCCUAAUGCUGACUGAAAUGAAAAAAGUUCAGUUUAGGGUUUAAAACCCUAAUGCUGACUGCAUGGAAAAGCUCAGUUUAGGGCUUAAAACCCUAAUGCUGGAUAAAAGGAAAGAAGUUCAGUUUAGGGUUUAAAACCCUAAUGCUGACUGAAGAAAAAAUUCAGUUUAGGGUUUUAAACCCUAAUGCUGAUUGCAUAAAAAAGCUCAGUUUAGGGUUUAAAACCCUAAUGCUGGCUGAAA
This 477-nucleotide long non-coding RNA is filed under the name Nicotiana tabacum (common tobacco). RNAcentral describes it as "long non-coding RNA (NTAB_LNC010368)". The record is from RNAcentral. Lineage: Eukaryota; Viridiplantae; Streptophyta; Magnoliopsida; Solanales; Solanaceae.